This 438-nucleotide ribosomal RNA is filed under the name Diptera environmental sample. RNAcentral's name for it is "eukaryotic LSU rRNA". The stretch from base 1 to 83 matches the Rfam family "5.8S ribosomal RNA", at positions 73 to 154 of the family's 154-position model. The record is from RNAcentral. Lineage: Eukaryota; Metazoa; Arthropoda; Insecta; Diptera.
CGUCGAUCUCGUGAAUCAUCGAAUCUUUGAACGCAAUUUGCACCUGGUGGCUUUUGUCACUAGGUAUACUUGUUUGAGUAUCCAUAACCAUCUCACCUCCCUUUCGGGGCGAUGUGGACUUUGAGAUUCGAUGGGCAUCUUUCAAUAGACUGCCGAAAGUCGUCUCUUUAAAUUUAUGACCACACUGGAAAGUCUCCACUGGAGAGUCUCCUGACGCUUGUGUCUGGACCAUUGGGAUAAUAUCCUACAAUUGUCCAACCUUCGUUUGACUCCUCAUAAGCGUUGACAGCCCAAGGUCAAUCUUGGUCUCAGAUAUCAUCAUUCAAUGAUAUCCUGGGAUCAUCUCUCAUUCCGCUUUAUUUAAGUGGACUGAUUGUGUAACGGAUCUCAAAUCAAGUAAGGACACCCGCUGAACUUAAGCAUAUCAAUAAGCGGAGG